This is a long non-coding RNA of Cryptotermes secundus, 519 nucleotides long. RefSeq lists it as uncharacterized. The transcript is spliced from 3 exons. NCBI's taxonomy places the organism in Eukaryota, Metazoa, Arthropoda, Insecta, Blattodea, Kalotermitidae. The record is from RefSeq and is a predicted model, not a curated record.
UGAAUGUCGCUGUGUUGUGUAAUCGUGUGUUGUGAAGUAGACUAGUUUCAUGUUUUAGUGAGGAAAAGGAAGUUUGUUGGUGGAUCGUGCUUCCUGUUGCUGUAAAAUAAUCGGUUGAAAAGAAACUGACUCCAUUGAUUUUUAGCUUUGAGUUGCCAAUAGUAGGAACACUGCAGUCUCUGCCUGAUAGCAAUUCUUCCUAUGUGAGGAGCAUCCAAGAAAAAUACAGUGUUCAUGUAAUGUUUCAUAACCGCCCCAAGCUGUAUGGCACCAUGGUAGUUAUAAAGGGCUGUGAGUUGGAGGUGGCUAUGGUAAAACAAGCGACUCUCUUGGUGAUACAACACGUGUGAAUCUCUUGCUGAUUUUCGAAUCUUUUGACUGAAGGACAGAAGAAUGAAAGCAUGGCUAUUCAAGAGAAAGCUAGAGGGGUCCCUUCUUCAGUGCUGAGACCUUCCGUUAGAGCUGCAAAAGAUUAUUGCCCCUUCUAUUUGAAUGAACAGACAGCUGCAUCGUGGCUGA